Zonotrichia leucophrys gambelii is the source of this 541-nucleotide long non-coding RNA. RefSeq lists it as uncharacterized. Lineage: Eukaryota; Metazoa; Chordata; Aves; Passeriformes; Passerellidae. The record is from RefSeq and is a predicted model, not a curated record. The transcript is spliced from 2 exons.
ACACAGGAGGGACACGAUAAGACACGGGUGACACGGGGACACAAUGAGACAUGGGUGACACAGCUAGGGGCAUGAGGAGAGACAGAAGUGGGGACAAAUUUGGGGUUACAGUGACACAAAAAAGGACACAACGAGAGACGGACUGGGACAAAAGCAGGGACACAACCGAGGACACAACCAUGGUGCCACAGCCCCGAAACGGUGACAAAACAGGGACAAAACAGUGACAAAACCAGAUAUUCGGGUAUUUCCGGAAUUUUCCGCUCAUGCUUCGGCAUCUUUCGACAACUACCGCAAAAACUUCGGCCAGUUCCGGCUCUUUCCGUCAACGUUCGGGCACCGCCGGUUAACUUCGAGCAUUUCCGUCACUCUCCGGAGGCCCUUCGGCGGUCUCCGCCCACUUCCGUCAGUGCUUCGGAACUCUCCGUGCAUCUCCGCCAGCUCUGAGGUCACUCCGUCACCCUCCCUCCGCCCCCGCCGUCUCUCGGCUCUCGGGCUCGGGGGGGGGCGGUGCUUUUUAAAUAAAUUAUUCAUGAACCGA